CACAGUCGCCGGUGCGACUACGAAGGGCGAGCUCAGCGGGGACACAACCGAAGGGUCCUGUCGCUGUCACCAGAACUCUGCGUGCACCUAGUUCAUAGAGCCUCUGGAGAAUUUUCCUGUAUUCGGAGAUCAGAUAUCUCACGUAGUCGGGCAAAGAGAACUCGCGUGAUCUGGCAGAGUAGGGCACCAAGAAGUAAUUGUUAACGAAAUCAUUACCUCCGAGAGUGAGGGUAAGCUCGUUGAUCGGCCCAGAACAGACUCAAUCACUAGUG
Molecule: unclassified non-coding RNA, 272 nt
Filed under: Hevea brasiliensis (rubber tree)
Lineage: Eukaryota; Viridiplantae; Streptophyta; Magnoliopsida; Malpighiales; Euphorbiaceae
Source: RNAcentral